UGGGGAAUAUUGGGCAAUGGGCGAAAGCCUGACCCAGCAACGCCGCGUGAAGGAAGAAGGCUUUCGGGUUGUAAACUUCUUUUAUGGGGGACGAAGACAUGACGGUACCUCAUGAAUAAGCCACGGCUAACUACGUGCCAGCAGCCGCGGUAAUACGUAGGUGGCAAGCGUUAUCCGGAUUUAUUGGGUGUAAAGGGCGUGUAGGCGGGUCUGCAAGUCAGAUGUGAAAACCAGAGGCUCAACCUCUGGCCUGCAUUUGAAACUGUAGAUCUUGAGUGCUGGAGAGGCAAUCGGAAUUCCGUGUGUAGCGGUGAAAUGCGUAGAUAUACGGAGGAACACCAGUGGCGAAGGCGGAUUGCUGGACAGUAACUGACGCUGAGGCGCGAAAGCGUGGGGAGCA
This 400-nucleotide ribosomal RNA is filed under the name uncultured bacterium. Its description in RNAcentral is "bacterial SSU rRNA". It matches the Rfam family "Bacterial small subunit ribosomal RNA", at positions 355 to 770 of the family's 1533-position model. The record is from RNAcentral.